GCGCCUGUGGCUCAAUGGAUAGAGCAUUUGGCUUCGGACCAAAGGGUUGGGGGUUCGAGUCCCUCCGGGCGCGCCA
Molecule: transfer RNA, 76 nt
Filed under: Candidatus Omnitrophota bacterium
Lineage: Bacteria; Pseudomonadati; Candidatus Omnitrophota
Description: Candidatus Omnitrophica bacterium tRNA-Arg
Rfam family: tRNA
About the family: Transfer RNA (tRNA) molecules are approximately 80 nucleotides in length. Their secondary structure includes four short double-helical elements and three loops (D, anti-codon, and T loops). Further hydrogen bonds mediate the characteristic L-shaped molecular structure. tRNAs have two regions of fundamental functional importance: the anti-codon, which is responsible for specific mRNA codon recognition, and the 3' end, to which the tRNAs corresponding amino acid is attached (by aminoacyl-tRNA synthetases). tRNAs cope with the degeneracy of the genetic code in two manners: having more than one tRNA (with a specific anti-codon) for a particular amino acid; and 'wobble' base-pairing, i.e. permitting non-standard base-pairing at the 3rd anti-codon position.
Source: RNAcentral